This 497-nucleotide ribosomal RNA is filed under the name uncultured bacterium. RNAcentral's name for it is "partial 16S ribosomal RNA". It matches the Rfam family "Bacterial small subunit ribosomal RNA", at positions 28 to 507 of the family's 1533-position model. The record is from RNAcentral.
GAUGAACGCUGGCGGCGUGCCUAAUACAUGCAAGUCGAGCGAACAGAUGAGGAGCUUGCUCCUCUGACGUUAGCGGCGGGCGGGUGAGUAACACGUGGAUAACCUACCUAUAAGACUGGGAUAACUUCGGGAAACCGGAGCUAAUACCGGAUAAUAUAUUGAACCGCAUGGUUCAAUAGUGAAAGACGGUUUUGCUGUCACUUAUAGAUGGAUCCGCGCCGCAUUAGCUAGUUGGUAAGGUAACGGCUUACCAAGGCAACGAUGCGUAGCCGACCUGAGAGGGUGAUCGGCCACACUGGAACUGAGACACGGUCCAGACUCCUACGGGAGGCAGCAGUAGGGAAUCUUCCGCAAUGGGGGAAAGCCUGACGGAGCAACGCCGCGUGAGUGAUGAAGGUCUUCGGAUCGUAAAACUCUGUUAUUAGGGAAGAACAAAUGUGUAAGUAACUAUGCACGUCUUGACGGUACCUAAUCAGAAAGCCACGGCUAACUACGUG